Molecule: ribosomal RNA, 36 nt
Filed under: Nitzschia navis-varingica
Lineage: Eukaryota; Bacillariophyta; Bacillariophyceae; Bacillariales; Bacillariaceae
Description: partial large subunit ribosomal RNA
Source: RNAcentral
GUUUCGGAUCUCAGAUCAAGCAAGAGGACCCGCUGA